This 274-nucleotide small nuclear RNA is filed under the name Salvator merianae (Argentine black and white tegu). RNAcentral's name for it is "7SK RNA (ENSSMRG00000000056.1)". It matches the Rfam family "7SK RNA", at positions 1 to 284 of the family's 331-position model. From Rfam's summary of the family: 7SK was discovered as an abundant small nuclear RNA in the mid-70s but a possible function has only recently been suggested. Two independent studies have found that 7SK RNA binds the CDK9/cyclin T complex (known as elongation factor P-TEFb). P-TEFb activates transcription by phosphorylating the C-terminal domain of RNA polymerase II. The record is from RNAcentral. Lineage: Eukaryota; Metazoa; Chordata; Lepidosauria; Squamata; Teiidae.
GGCAGACAAAUUUUUGGGUGUCACCCUAAUGAUUGCCAGGGUUGAUCUGCUGACUUGGCUGGUUUAGUGGAUGUCACCUUCCUUUCUCAGCAUGCUGUGUGCCUCUCCCUUGAAGUUACAUGCUUAGUGGAAGAGGGUGACCAUCACAGAAAGGAGCAUGCUGUGCUUUGGUCAAGGGUAUGUGAUAGCUAUGCUCCCUCUACCAGAACCUCUAAACAACCUUNCGAGCAAAUAUUAGUUGUGACCUCUGAACAGUGUGUAUCUGUCAAUGCUA